CUACGGGUCGCUGCAGUGAGGAAUAUUGCGCAAUGGGGGGAACCCUGAUGCAGCAACGCCGCGUGGAGGAUGACGCAUUUCGGUGUGUAAACUCCUUUUAUAUGUCAAGAAAAUGACGGUAGCAUAUGAAUAAGCACCGGCUAACUCCGUGCCAGCAGCCGCGGUAAUACGGAGGGUGCAAGCGUUACUCGGAAUCACUGGGCGUAAAGGACGCGUAGGCGGGUUGGAAAGUCAGGUGUGAAAUCCUACAGCUUAACUGUAGAACUGCACUUGAAACUUCUAAUCUAGAGUAUGGGAGGGGGAGAUGGAAUUAGUGGUGUAGGGGUAAAAUCCGUAGAUAUCACUAGGAAUACCUAAAGCGAAGGCGAUCUCCUGGAACAUUACUGACGCUAAGGCGUGAAUGCGUGGGGAGCAAACAGGAUUAGAUACCCUCGUAGUC
RNAcentral lists this ribosomal RNA (439 nucleotides) under uncultured bacterium. RNAcentral describes it as "partial 16S ribosomal RNA". It matches the Rfam family "Bacterial small subunit ribosomal RNA", at positions 339 to 795 of the family's 1533-position model. The record is from RNAcentral.